UACGUAGGGUGCGAGCGUUGUCCGGAAUUAUUGGGCGUAAAGAGCUUGUAGGCGGUUUGUCGCGUCUGCUGUGAAAAUCCGGGGCUCAACCCCGGGCUUGCAGUGGGUACGGGCAGACUAGAGUGUGGUAGGGGAGACUGGAAUUCCUGGUGUAGCGGUGAAAUGCGCAGAUAUCAGGAGGAACACCAAUGGCGAAGGCAGCACUCUGGGACGGGACUGACGCUGAGGCGCGAAAGCGUGGGGAGCAAACAGG
Molecule: ribosomal RNA, 253 nt
Filed under: uncultured bacterium
Lineage: Bacteria
Description: partial 16S ribosomal RNA
Rfam family: Bacterial small subunit ribosomal RNA
Source: RNAcentral